AAGAGUACGAGUUUCAAGUGAGCAAGAGCCGAAGAGCAGUAAGAAGUAACUUGUCGCUGGAGAAAGGCAAGUGUGUCCUUGUGUUUUUGUCCCAAUAAAUUUAUUUAAUCACUAUUGCAUAUGCUUGCAUUAAAUUUGAUGGGUCCUAUUAAGGUUUGCCUAGUUUUUAUGAUUAUUCCUUGCCAACCUGGGUUUACCUUUCUGUUGGGUAGCUAUGCUUAGCUGCUAUACUUGGGUUAUGGUGGUUCUAAUGAACAAAGAUGAUGAACUUAUUUUAUUUAUGCUACACCUUCCUUUAAUACAAGAUCACUGUGAUUAAUUGGAACAUGGAGAACCACCCAGGAAAACAGUGCUACCACAAGACUAAAUGGCUCUGGUCUUGGCUGAAUAAUUAGAAACUCUAGUUUGGGGUAACCUUACCGAAAGGGCAAGAGGGGAGGCGUUGAUGGGGUAUAGCACUCGCUCUCUUGGGAAGUGGGCUUGGCUAAGACACUAUACCCUCUAGGGGACUGCUAUGUUUCGCUUCGACCUGAAACCUUAGCGGGUUACCACAUUGCUAGCGAAUCUUUGUAAAGGCCUCGUAGCGUCCCUAUGCAAUCACACCUCGGAAGUGUGGUAUUGUGCCUGAUCAGCACAAGCGUGGUUGGGUCUAAAGUUCUUUUGAACUUUUACGCGACUUGUGGGUAAAGAUGUGCCACCUCUGCAGAGUGUAAAACUGAUCGAUCAGCCGUGCUCACGGUUAAGAGCGGCCUGGACCCUCACAUGAGUAAUAUACUUGAAGAUGGAUUUAAAUUGUGGUUUAUGCUAUGGUUAUGGUUGUGCCAUAUGCUUAUGGCUUAUGUUUAUGUUUCUAUUAAUUGUGGGUUGGUAUAUACUUAUACCUUAGUAAUCAUGUGCUAAUAAAAUUUGACCAACUAAAAAUGCUUAAUGCAAUAAACCGGUCAGCCUUUCCUUGUUUAACCCUUGCAUUCAUAUUCUCCUCACACUUGCUGAGUACGACAAGUGCUCACCCUUGCUAUAAACAACGUUCCUCAGAAGAAGAAGCUGCUAUGAAGUUGUUGUGAAGAUGGUGCUGAGUCCUAGGCAUACGCAGCCCCCAGUCGAUUGCCUGUGAAGUUUGGAGCCUCCGUUUCCAUAAUUAAGCUGUAUAUCUCUGAUGGUUUGUAAGUCUUUAUUUGUAUCUUUUCACGUGAUACUGUUGCUGUUAUUCACUUAUGAUGUCACUAUAUGUAUGAAAUUUGAUCCGGGCACACAUAUAGGUAGCAUUCGGUUUUGCCUUUAAAAUCGGGUGUGACA
This 1296-nucleotide long non-coding RNA is filed under the name Setaria italica (foxtail millet). Its description in RNAcentral is "long non-coding RNA (SITA_LNC006093)". The record is from RNAcentral. Lineage: Eukaryota; Viridiplantae; Streptophyta; Magnoliopsida; Poales; Poaceae.